UACGAAGGGUGCAAGCGUUAAUCGGAAUUACUGGGCGUAAAGCGUGCGUAGGCGGCCUUGUAAGUCGGAUGUGAAAGCCCCGGGCUUAACCUGGGAAUGGCAUUCGAGACUGCGGGGCUAGAGUUUGGGAGAGGGUGGUGGAAUUCCCGGUGUAGCGGUGAAAUGCGUAGAGAUCGGGAGGAACAUCAGUGGCGAAGGCGGCCACCUGGCCUAAAACUGACGCUGAGGCACGAAAGCGUGGGGAGCAAACAGG
RNAcentral lists this ribosomal RNA (253 nucleotides) under uncultured bacterium. Its description in RNAcentral is "partial 16S ribosomal RNA". It matches the Rfam family "Bacterial small subunit ribosomal RNA", at positions 524 to 776 of the family's 1533-position model. The record is from RNAcentral.